Molecule: long non-coding RNA, 222 nt
Organism: Dermacentor silvarum
Lineage: Eukaryota; Metazoa; Arthropoda; Arachnida; Ixodida; Ixodidae
Exons: 3
Source: RefSeq, a predicted model, not a curated record
GCGAACCUUGAUAGGAUAUAGGCUGGGGCAUAGGCCACAUAUGCACGGCUACGUGAAACCAGCAAGCUGUACGGGUUUGGUCUAAACAACUACCACCAGAUGGGAGUACAAGCACACAGGUCGAACGAUGGCCAAAUUGUUUCUGUGCCUCGACCACUAACCUCCUGUCAAGCACAUCAGAGCUGGGUGAGGCCGCUUUACAACGUGCAAGGAGCUGGGUGU